ACGGGGUGCAGCAGGCGCGAAACCUUUGCAAUGUGCGAAAGCACGACAAGGUUAAUCCGAGUGUCUCCUGCUAAAGGAGUCUUUUGUCAGUUGUAGAAUCACUGAUGAAUAAGGGGUGGGCAAGUUCUGGUGUCAGCCGCCGCGGUAAAACCAGCACCUCGAGUGGUCAGGAGGUUUAUUGGGCCUAAAGCAUCCGUAGCCGGUUGCAUAAGUUUUCGGUUAAAUCUAUGCGCUUAACGUAUAGGCCGCCGAAAAUACUGUGCAGCUAGGGAGUGGGAGAGGUACACGGUACUCAAUAGGAAGGGGUAAAAUCCUUUGAUCUAUUGAUGACCACCUGUGGCGAAGGCGGUGUACCAGAACACGUUCGACGGUGAGGGAUGAAAGCUGGGGGAGCAAACCGGAUUAGAUACCCGGGUAGUCCCAGCUGUAAACGAUGCAGACUCGGUGAUGCAUUGGCUUGUGGCCAAUGCAGUGCCGCAGGGAAGCCGUUAAGUCUGCCGCCUGGGAAGUACGUACGCAAGUAUGAAACUUAAAGGAAUUGGCCGGGGAGCAC
This 553-nucleotide ribosomal RNA is filed under the name uncultured Nitrososphaerota archaeon. RNAcentral describes it as "bacterial SSU rRNA". It matches the Rfam family "Archaeal small subunit ribosomal RNA", at positions 325 to 879 of the family's 1478-position model. The record is from RNAcentral. Lineage: Archaea; Thermoproteati; Nitrososphaerota.